ACUACAAUUACUACAACAAAAUUUUCAACAUAAAUGGCAAAUAUUAUGUCAAUAUUAACUCAAACUACUCGAAAAAUCGCUCUUUUUUUAAUAACCGAGAAAUUCUUUUAAAACCAACCGUUAAGACCAAACAUAGUCUUCGAAACUCUUAAGAUAAUAAAUCCGAUCUUCUAUCCUUAUCCACUCAAAUAUCAGACGUAUUUCGCACGUCUAAGGUCAUAAGUCCAACAUUUGCUACUAAAACUAAGCCUUGAAUCUUUUACCUUCUAGUUUUUACACCUAGUUUGAUUACGAUCUUAGUUACAUUUUAUGUGUCUUAAUUUGACUGAACACGAAAUUUAAGAAAAACGAUUGAAGCUUGUAUGGUUAAACUAUAGAGAAG
Molecule: unclassified non-coding RNA, 382 nt
Filed under: Hevea brasiliensis (rubber tree)
Lineage: Eukaryota; Viridiplantae; Streptophyta; Magnoliopsida; Malpighiales; Euphorbiaceae
Source: RNAcentral